Molecule: ribosomal RNA, 838 nt
Filed under: uncultured archaeon
Lineage: Archaea
Description: bacterial SSU rRNA
Rfam family: Archaeal small subunit ribosomal RNA
Source: RNAcentral
AGGUUACUGCUAUCGGUGUUCGCCUAAGCCAUGCGAGUCAUAUGUUCGUAAGAACAUGGCGUACUGCUCAGUAACACGUGGAUAACCUGCCCUUGGGUCCGGCAUAACCCCGGGAAACUAGGGAUAAUUCCGGAUAACGCACAUAUGCUGGAAUGCUUUAUGCGUAAAAUGGAUUCGUCUGCCCAAGGAUGGGUCUGCGGCCUAUCAGGUAGUAGUGGGUGUAAUGUACCUACUAGCCUACGACGGGUACGGGUUGUGAGAGCAAGAGCCCGGAGAUGGAUUCUGAGACAUGAAUCCAGGCCCUACGGGGCGCAGCAGGCGCGAAAACUUUACAAUGCGGGAAACCGUGAUAAGGGGACACCGAGUGCCAGCAUCCUAUGCUGGCUGUCCGGGUGUGUAAAAUACACCUGUUAGCAAGGGCCGGGCAAGACCGGUGCCAGCCGCCGCGGUAACACCGGCGGCCCGAGUGGUGAUCGUGAUUAUUGGGUCUAAAGGGUCCGUAGCCGGUUUGGUCAGUCCUCCGGGAAAUCUGACAGCUUAACUGUUAGGCUUUCGGAGGAUACUGCCAGACUUGGAACCGGGAGAGGUAAGAGGUACUACAGGGGUAGGAGUGAAAUCUUGUAAUCCCUGUGGGACCACCUGUGGCGAAGGCGUCUUACCAGAACGGGUUCGACGGUGAGGGACGAAAGCUGGGGGCACGAACCGGAUUAGAUACCCGGGUAGUCCCAGCCGUAAACGAUGCUCGCUAGGUGUCAGGCAUGGCGCGACCGUGUCUGGUGCCGCAGGGAAGCCGUGAAGCGAGCCACCUGGGAAGUACGGCCGCAAGGCUGAAACUUAA